This 1378-nucleotide long non-coding RNA is filed under the name Gossypium barbadense (sea-island cotton). RNAcentral's name for it is "long non-coding RNA (GBAR_LNC010698)". Lineage: Eukaryota; Viridiplantae; Streptophyta; Magnoliopsida; Malvales; Malvaceae. The record is from RNAcentral.
AUACAUCAAUUAUAAACAAAGAUUAAAUAAGAAGAUUAGAACAAAGCGUCGAAACAAAGUUUAAUUAAGAAGCAAAGGAGAAAGGGCGAGGGGCGUGGGAAACUAUUAAGAAAUUGUGCUAAGCGAGAAUGGAGAAAAUGUGAAUUUGCCCAUAAAUGGUUUAGCCCAGACUUUGUAAAGAGGCCUGUGUAAUUCUAAAAUGUGAAUAAGGGUUCAAACUCGAAAUUGUUACUUUGAAAACACUCUUUUCUCACCAUUCAUCCUGUACAUGCCCAAAUUUAACCGGACCUUAAUAAACAAAGCUCAAAUUACAGAACAAACCAAACCAAAGUCUAAAUAAAAAAGUCCAUUUACAAAAAAUAUCAAACUUAAAACCCAAAAUAAAUAAAGACCUAAUGGCCCAUAUGGCCCACUAUCUUAAGCUAGCAAGAAACCUUAGCUCUCUCGACUGUUGCAGCCACCAUGUACGCCCUCGGCGCGCAUGUCGCCCGAGGGUCGGUUCCCCUGCAACCUUGCACUAAAAUAGCCACCAGCUAUUUCCAUUGACCAAGUCCGUACCUGCAAAAAACCACAAAAGCAGAAACAAGGCAGAGAAACGGCAGCAAGCAACAGUAGGCCAUAAUAGCAGAAACGAAAAUAAACAGUAGCAUACCUGUUGUAUUUGGCUAUAAAGCCACCGAAAAAGAACUAUUGUAAGGGGGAAAAACAAUAUAAAAAAUACAAAAAAAAGAGAUCAAAAUACAAAAACUGAUUCAAAGAAGAUUAAGGUGCUUUUUAUUUCUAUUUUAUUUUUAUUUAUUUUUAUCUUUUAGUUCGAAUAUAAUAGGGGUGAGAUCCGUUACCUUUAGCGCUGUGCUUGGAGCCUUCUCCGGCUUUGGAGGGGACCGAGUCGAGGAACUCGCCAAAAAACCCCAUCGGCAUUGUUAAGGAACUAAAGGGUCCCUUUAUUUUUCUUCCUUUUUUGCUGUUAUUUUUGUGUUUUGGUGGGGGAUUUGGAUUUUUGACCUUAAUUUGGAUGAGAUUAAGGAGGUUAAAUCGGUCAAAAAAGGGCUCCUUUUAGGAACUCUGGCCGCAGUAUACGGUGGCGGUCCGGCGACGGCGAUGAUGGGUUAAGAAACCCUAGCAGAGGAGAAGAAAAAGGGGGUAGGUUUUAAAAUUUUUUUUAAAUGAGUAACAAGAUGAAUUUUUAAGAAAAAAUUAGUUUUUAAUACUUGUUUGAAACGGUGCCGUUUUGAACCAAGGUCUCCAGCGCCAAAACGGCGUCGUUUAGGAUGACCCGUAUGCGACCCGACCCGCGCAAGCCAGGGUCCGCGUGUUUCCAUUAAAUAUGUUAUUUACAACCCUGGUCCCUCUAAGUUCUGUCCGUCUUGAUUUUGUC